RNAcentral lists this small nuclear RNA (131 nucleotides) under Adineta vaga. RNAcentral's name for it is "U4 spliceosomal RNA". It matches the Rfam family "U4 spliceosomal RNA". From Rfam's summary of the family: U4 small nuclear RNA (U4 snRNA) is a component of the major U2-dependent spliceosome. The structure of U4 snRNA from yeast and human has been reported. The record is from RNAcentral. Lineage: Eukaryota; Metazoa; Rotifera; Eurotatoria; Adinetida; Adinetidae.
AUUCUUGCGCAGAGGUAAUACCUUAUCCAAUGAGCGUUUUUGCGACAGGAGAGGUGAUUGCUAAUUGCAAACUACUACCAAUGCAUCACAUCGUUCUUUGAGCGAUGUAAUUUUUCCAGCUUCUUCGGAAG